GCCAGACGCGGUGACGCAUGCCUGUAGUCCCAGCUACUCAGGAGGCUGAGGCUGGCGGAUCACUUGAGUCCAAGAGUUCUGGGCUGUAGUGCACUAUGCUGAUCAGAUGUCUGCACUAAGUUGGGCAUCAAUAUGGUGAUCUCCGGGGAGUGGGGGACUACCAGGUUGCCUAAGGAGGGGUCAACCAGCCCAGGUCAGAAAUGGAGCAGGUCAAAACUCCCAUGCUGAUCAGUAGCGGGAUCGCGCCUGUGAACAGCCACUGUACUCCAGCCUGGGCAACAUAGCGAGACCCUGUCUCU
This 299-nucleotide signal recognition particle RNA is filed under the name Cebus imitator (Panamanian white-faced capuchin). RNAcentral describes it as "Metazoan signal recognition particle RNA (ENSCCAG00000005105.1)". It matches the Rfam family "Metazoan signal recognition particle RNA". From Rfam's summary of the family: The signal recognition particle (SRP) is a universally conserved ribonucleoprotein. The record is from RNAcentral. Lineage: Eukaryota; Metazoa; Chordata; Mammalia; Primates; Cebidae.